UACGUAGGGGGCAAGCGUUGUCCGGAUUUAUUGGGCGUAAAGCGCGUGUAGGCGGCCAAGCAGGUCCGCUGUGAAAACUCGAGGCUCAACCUCGAGACGUCGGUGGAAACCGUUUGGCUAGAGUCCGGAAGAGGAGAGUGGAAUUCCCGGUGUGGCGGUGAAAUGCGCAGAUAUCGGGAAGAACACCCGUGGCGAAGGCGGCUCUCUGGGACGGUACUGACGCUGAGACGCGAAAGCGUGGGGAGCGAACAGG
Molecule: ribosomal RNA, 253 nt
Filed under: uncultured bacterium
Lineage: Bacteria
Description: partial 16S ribosomal RNA
Rfam family: Bacterial small subunit ribosomal RNA
Source: RNAcentral